This 896-nucleotide ribosomal RNA is filed under the name Cortinarius semisanguineus. RNAcentral describes it as "eukaryotic LSU rRNA". The stretch from base 673 to 896 matches the Rfam family "Eukaryotic large subunit ribosomal RNA", at positions 1 to 222 of the family's 3401-position model. The record is from RNAcentral. Lineage: Eukaryota; Fungi; Basidiomycota; Agaricomycetes; Agaricales; Cortinariaceae.
UCUUGGUCAAUUUAGAGGAAGUAAAAGUCGUAACAAGGUUUCCGUAGGUGAACCUGCGGAAGGAUSAUUAUUGAAAUAAACCUGAUGGGUUGCUGCUGGCUCUCUAGGGAGCAUGUGCACACUUGUCAUCUUUAUAUCUCCACCUGUGCACCUUUUGUAGAUCUGGAUAAUCUUUCUGAAUGCCUGGCAUUCAGGUUUGAGGAUUGACUUUUUGUCUUUCCUUACAUUUCCAGGCCUAUGUUUUCUUCAUAUACCCCAUUUAUGUUAUAGAAUGUAAUGAAAAAGGCCUUUGUGCCUACAAACCUUAUACAACUUUCAGCAACGGAUCUCUUGGCUCUCGCAUCGAUGAAGAACGCAGCGAAAUGCGAUAAGUAAUGUGAAUUGCAGAAUUCAGUGAAUCAUCGAAUCUUUGAACGCACCUUGCGCUCCUUGGUAUUCCGAGGAGCAUGCCUGUUUGAGUGUCAUUAAUAUAUCAACCUCCUCAGGUUUUUGACUUGUCGAGUGUUUGGAUGUGGGGGUCUUUUGCUGGUCUCUUUUGAGGUCGGCUCCCCUAAAAUGCAUUAGCGGAACAAUUUGUUGACCCGUUCAUUGGUGUGAUAACUAUCUACGCUUUUGAGGUGAAACAGGUUCAGCUUCUAACAGUCCAUUGAUUUGGACAAAUUUUCAUUAAUGUGACCUCAAAUCAGGUAGGACUACCCGCUGAACUUAAGCAUAUCAAUAAGCGGAGGAAAAGAAACUAACAAGGAUUCCCCUAGUAACUGCGAGUGAAGCGGGAAAAGCUCAAAUUUAAAAUCUGGCAGUCUUUGGCUGUCCGAGUUGUAAUCUAGAGAAGUGUUAUCCGCGCUGGACCGUGUACAAGUCUCCUGGAAUGGAGCGUCAUAGAGGGNGAGAAUCCA